Molecule: ribosomal RNA, 637 nt
Filed under: Sphingomonas sp.
Lineage: Bacteria; Pseudomonadati; Pseudomonadota; Alphaproteobacteria; Sphingomonadales; Sphingomonadaceae
Description: bacterial SSU rRNA
Rfam family: Bacterial small subunit ribosomal RNA
Source: RNAcentral
AACGAAGCCUUCGGGCUUAGUGGCGCACGGGUGCGUAACGCGUGGGAAUCUGCCCUUGGGUUCGGAAUAACUCAGAGAAAUUUGAGCUAAUACCGGAUGAUGACGUAAGUCCAAAGAUUUAUCGCCCAAGGAUGAGCCCGCGUAGGAUUAGCUAGUUGGUGAGGUAAAGGCUCACCAAGGCGACGAUCCUUAGCUGGUCUGAGAGGAUGAUCAGCCACACUGGGACUGAGACACGGCCCAGACUCCUACGGGAGGCAGCAGUGGGGAAUAUUGGACAAUGGGCGAAAGCCUGAUCCAGCAAUGCCGCGUGAGUGAUGAAGGCCUUAGGGUUGUAAAGCUCUUUUACCCGGGAUGAUAAUGACAGUACCGGGAGAAUAAGCUCCGGCUAACUCCGUGCCAGCAGCCGCGGUAAUACGGAGGGAGCUAGCGUUGUUCGGAAUUACUGGGCGUAAAGCGCACGUAGGCGGCUUUGUAAGUUAGAGGUGAAAGCCUGGAGCUCAACUCCAGAACUGCCUUUAAAACUGCAUCGCUUGAAUCCAGGAGAGGUGAGUGGAAUUCCGAGUGUAGAGGUGAAAUUCGUAGAUAUUCGGAAGAACACCAGUGGCGAAGGCGGCUCACUGGACUGGUAUGACGCUGA